UUAGCCUUAAACCUCAAUAGUUAAAUAACAAAACUAUUCGCCAGAAUACUACAAGCAACAGCUUGAAACUCAAAGGACUUGGCGGUGCUUUAUAUUCCCCCUAGAGGAGCCUGUUCCAUAAUCGAUAAACCCCGAUCCACCCUACCCUCUCUUGCUCAGCCUAUAUACCGCCAUCUUCAGCAAACCCUGAUGAAGGCCACAAAGUGAGCGCAAAUGCCCACGCCGCAAAAACGUUAGGUCAAGGUGUAGCCCAUGAGACGGUAAAAAAUGGGCUACAUUUUCUACCUCAGAAAACCCUACGAUACCUCUUAUGAAAUCUAAGAGUCCAAGGAGGAUUUAGCAGUAAAUCAAGAAUAGAGUGCUUGAUUGAACUAGGCCAUGAAGCGCGU
RNAcentral lists this ribosomal RNA (389 nucleotides) under Cercocebus atys (sooty mangabey). Its description in RNAcentral is "partial 12S ribosomal RNA". It matches the Rfam family "Bacterial small subunit ribosomal RNA", at positions 833 to 1384 of the family's 1533-position model. The record is from RNAcentral. RNAcentral also lists the same sequence under 1 other name. Lineage: Eukaryota; Metazoa; Chordata; Mammalia; Primates; Cercopithecidae.